This 301-nucleotide ribosomal RNA is filed under the name uncultured bacterium. Its description in RNAcentral is "partial 16S ribosomal RNA". It matches the Rfam family "Bacterial small subunit ribosomal RNA", at positions 509 to 809 of the family's 1533-position model. The record is from RNAcentral.
CAGUAGCCACGGUAAUACGAAGGGUGCAAGCGUUAAUCGGAAUCACUGGGCGUAAAGGGAGCGUAGGCGGCGUGGUAAGUCAGAUGUGAAAUCCCGGGGCCCAACCCCGGAACUGCAUCCGAUACUGCCAUGCUAGAGGAUUGGAGAGGUAGCUGGAAUUCUUGGUGUAGCAGUGAAAUGCGUGGAGAUCAAGAGGAACACUCGUGGCGAAAGCGAGCUACUGGACAAUAACUGACGCUGAGGCUCGAAGGCCAGGGUAGCGAAAGGGAUUAGAUACCCCAGUAGUCCCUGUCUCUUAUAA